AAGACCAGUCAAUGAUUGCUGUCAAGAAAAUUGUUGAUGAAUUUGACAAAUUCAAUGGUACUGUCUAUCACAUGAUUGGAAAUCACUGCCUUUACAAUCUUCCUCGAAAAGACUUGCUUCCAUUGCUGAGAAUCCCUGGCCAUGAUGAUCAUGCCUAUUUUGAUUUUUCUCCAAUUCCGGAGUACAGAUUUGUAAUCCUAGAUGCUUAUGAUAUCAGUGCCAUUGGUUGGCCGGAAGAUCACCCAAAUACUUUGAAGGCCUUGAAAGUUCUUCAGGAGAAAAACCCAAAUUCAGACAAAAACAGUCCAAGUGGACUUGUGGGACCGGCAAGAAGGUUUCUCAUGUUCAAUGGAGGUGUUGGGAAAGAACAAUUGGAAUGGCUGGAUCAUGUCCUUCAGGAAGCUACCAAGUUGAAUCAAAAUGUAAUAGUGUGUUGCCAUUUGCCUUUGGAUCCUGGAGCUUCAUCUCUUGCAGCAUUGUUGUGGAACUAUGAUGAAGUGAUGGAUGUGAUUCAUCGCUAUAGCUGUGUGAAGGUCUGUAUGGGUGGACACGACCAUAAAGGUGGACAAUCAGUCGACUCCCAUGGUGUACAUCAUCGCGUCCUUGAAGCAGCUCUUGAGUGCCCUCCUGGUACUGAUUCUUUCGGACAUAUUGAUGCUUUUGAUGAUAGAUUAUUACUUUUUGGUACUGAU
Molecule: unclassified non-coding RNA, 692 nt
Filed under: Hevea brasiliensis (rubber tree)
Lineage: Eukaryota; Viridiplantae; Streptophyta; Magnoliopsida; Malpighiales; Euphorbiaceae
Source: RNAcentral